CAAACUUUGCUAAAAUAACAAUUCCCCAGAAACGUCAUGAGUUCGACGCCACAGGAGGAAACCAGCAGGAACAGAGAGUCUGCAGGUCGUCGGUCGAGGCUGUUUCUUAUUUUCCCCUUUAUUCUCUUCAUCAUUUCUCUGAGUUUGCUUUUCAUCUUCAGCUUGAAAAAUUGCUCCAAAAACUCAAAAUUUCAAGAGAACCUGCAGAGAGCCUCUGCCUUGCAGUUUGGAUGCCUUGCUCAAGAGCAGACCUGUGUUGAUGUGGAGCAGAACUCAGUGAUUCCUGAUGAACCGCAGCGUCAUGAAAACUGUGGAGGUUGAGUCGAUCAAUCUGAGACUAUCGAUGAAUCCAGGUUCUUCAUAAAGCAGCUCACAGACUCUGCAGGAAUCCCACAAACUUUCUGAUAAACAUGAGAAAAUGUUGUGGAUUUUUCUCCAGGAAGAGGAAACACCUGAAGAGAAGCUCUUGGUUUUUUCUCUUGUUUUUCUGUGUCUCCUGAAGUUGAGUCUGUCUACAGAUCAAUGAGACCAGUGGAAGGUUUUCAUCUCUGACUGAACGUCACAAAAGGUGAAGAAAUGAGAAGAGAUUAUAGAAAAUGCAGCUCAAACCUGCAGCCUCUCCAGAUGAAUGGACAGUCUGUGAAGAGACACCAGCAACAAUCAAACUGGGAUCAAACUGGCCCAGUUUGGCCUGAACCAGUGAAGAGUUGCUGGUUUCUUCCUGAGCAUCAUGGAGACAUUUGAACAUUUUGCAUCAUUUGCUGCUCUGCUGGAUGUUAUGCUGCUCCAAUCACUGAGACUUAAAAUUAAUUUACGUUAAUGUGUUUUCCGUGGAAUGAAGGGAACUGAACUUCUGUUCAGUUUCUUAACCAUAUCAGCUCUGACCUGCUCUGAAGGCUGUGAUGCAUUCAGGGACUGUUUGUUCAUCUCAGUGUUUCCAGAGAGCGACUGUCGACUCACCAGUGAUUCUCUGAGGCUUCCUGUCCUGUGAGAUGGUGACUUCAGUGUAGGACACAGAACGGUUCACUCCACCUGCACAAAACAACCAAUCAUGGUGACGGCCGUUUUACUGCCAUAGUUUUAAUUUACAUGUUUUAUUUUGUAUUAUUUAUAUUUUUAAGACUCUUAUUUUGGAAGAUUAAGGUAGGAAGUGGAAUCAGUACGUUGCUAGUUACCAGAGAUGCUUGACAUGUAACGGCAUGCUUUGGCAAGUAAAUGAAGGAAGAUCAUUAAGUUUAAGAAUUUAUUUUAAUUAUCUCAUUUCUGCCUCAAAAGGAAGGAUCAGCCAGCGAAGUAUUUUUAUAUGUUUUAUAUUAUUUGUUUUGUCAAUAUUGCAUUAUUGACACCAUCUCACUAAGUUUACGUUGUGUGGUUUUGGUGUCAGGGAAACUGACGCUGUGACAAGAACAACUUUAAAGACUUUCAUUAAAGCUGACUUCACACCAGCUGUGAAAUGAACUCUUAAUUGCCAAAAAUAAGAACGGGUGGAAGUGAUGAGCCGGACGAGGUCAAAGUUCAACAUUUAUCCUAUGAAGCUGUAAUGCUGUCUUCAGGUUAUAGGUCAAAGUUCAUGAAUGAAUAAAAACUGUGAUAAAGUCACUGAACCAGGA
Molecule: long non-coding RNA, 1610 nt
Organism: Poeciliopsis prolifica (blackstripe livebearer)
Lineage: Eukaryota; Metazoa; Chordata; Actinopteri; Cyprinodontiformes; Poeciliidae
Exons: 4
Source: RefSeq, a predicted model, not a curated record